Molecule: ribosomal RNA, 1480 nt
Filed under: metagenome
Description: bacterial SSU rRNA
Rfam family: Bacterial small subunit ribosomal RNA
Source: RNAcentral
AGAGUUUGAUCCUGGCUCAGGAUGAACGCUAGCGGCAGGCCUAACACAUGCAAGUCGAGGGGUAACAUUGUCUUCGGACAGAUGACGACCGGCGCACGGGUGAGUAACGCGUAUGCAACCUACCCUGUACAGAGAGAUAGCCCAUGGAAACGUGGAUUAAUACCUCAUGGUUCUUAUUUUCCGCAUGGUUAAUAAGAUAAAGUUUCGGCGGUACAGGAUGGGCAUGCGUGACAUUAGUUUGUUGGUAAGGUAACGGCUUACCAAGACUACGAUGUCUAGGGGGUCUGAGAGGAUUAUCCCCCACACUGGUACUGAGACACGGACCAGACUCCUACGGGAGGCAGCAGUGAGGAAUAUUGGUCAAUGGACGCAAGUCUGAACCAGCCAUGCCGCGUGCAGGAUGACUGCCCUAUGGGUUGUAAACUGCUUUUGUAUGGGAAGAAUUGCAUCUACGUGUAGAUGUUUGCCGGUACCAUACGAAUAAGGAUCGGCUAACUCCGUGCCAGCAGCCGCGGUAAUACGGAGGAUUCGAGCGUUAUCCGGAUUUAUUGGGUUUAAAGGGUGCGUAGGCGGCUGAAUAAGUCAGUGGUGAAAGACUGUGGCUCAACCAUAGAAUUGCCAUUGAAACUGUUUAGCUUGAAUAUAGUUGAGGUAGGCGGAAUGUGUAGUGUAGCGGUGAAAUGCUUAGAUAUUACACAGAACACCGAUUGCGAAGGCAGCUUACUAAGCUAUUAUUGACGCUGAUGCACGAAAGCGUGGGUAGCGAACAGGAUUAGAUACCCUGGUAGUCCACGCCGUAAACGAUGAUCACUCGUUGUCUGCGAUAUAUUGUAGGUGACUAAGCGAAAGCGAUAAGUGAUCCACCUGGGGAGUACGAUCGCAAGAUUGAAACUCAAAGGAAUUGACGGGGGCCCGCACAAGCGGAGGAACAUGUGGUUUAAUUCGAUGAUACGCGAGGAACCUUACCUGGGCUUAAAUGUAGAUUGCAUAGAUUGGAAACAGUCUUUUUCUUCGGAACUAUUUACAAGGUGCUGCAUGGUUGUCGUCAGCUCGUGCCGUGAGGUGUCGGGUUAAGUCCCUUAACGAGCGCAACCCUUGCCGUCAGUUACCAGCACGUAGUGGUGGGGACUCUGGCGGGACUGCCACCGUAAGGUGAGAGGAAGGUGGGGAUGACGUCAAAUCAGCACGGCCCUUAUGUCCAGGGCUACACACGUGUUACAAUGGCAGGUACAAAGGGCAGCUACAUAGCAAUAUGAUGCGAAUCUCUAAAGCCUGUCUCAGUUCGGAUCGGAGUCUGCAACUCGACUCCGUGAAGCUGGAUUCGCUAGUAAUCGUAUAUCAGCAAUGAUACGGUGAAUACGUUCCCGGGCCUUGUACACACCGCCCGUCAAACCAUGGAAGCUGGGGGUGCCUGAAGUCUGUAACCGAAAGGAGCGGCCUAGGGUAAAACUAGUAACUAGGGUUAAGUCGUAACAAGGUA